GACUAAAAUGAAGAAAAAUUACAAAAGAGGGGAAAAUUUGGAAUUAUUAAAAGAUGGAACACCUUAGCAUGUGAGUUGUCCAAGAACCAACUGGGCUCGACCAUAUGGCCAAGCAGGCAAAGGAGAGACAAAAGUGAACGGCUGAGAUCUACCACAAAAGAAGAUCAACAGUCGACUAUAACCCAUAAACACGGAAUCAUACGGUCUACAUUACAAGAUGAGGAAGAUCGAACGACCAAGAUAACGAACGGCCACGAUCGUCCGGUGAAAGGAUCGAACAGCCUAAAAUCACACGGCGUAAAGCAGAGAUGCGACAAAACCAACGACCCAGAUCACACAGAGAAGAGAUCUAACGGUCAGGAUUUAAAUGCAGGAUCGAAAGGACGAUGUUACCCUUAAUGAAGACGCAUCCAACGGCCAAUGUCUGUUGCAUGAAAUCAAACGGUUCAGGCGCUUCCACAACCAAAGUACAUAAGCUCCCCCCUCUGGUUUCGCAUAUUUCAACCAAGGCAUUCAAAACUGAUAUUUCGAGAAAUUCGUGAGUAGUUUUAAGGAAACAAAAUGCAUGGUACCAUAAGAUGAAUAUAAGAGAACAUGUAGGAACCGAGAGAUCGGCAAGAACCAAAACGAUUCAAUUGGGAAAACUCUUGAAAAGCCAGGUCCCAACACUGGCCAAAACUGCAAGAGUUGCAGUGUAGGUCGAGGGUCCUGUUUAUGUGAAGGAUUUUGAUGAUUUUAGUCGCCAACCCGUGAUGAAACCCAACUACGGCUGAGGUAAGAAUGUUUGGGUAUUGCUUUUCUAGAUAUUUUUUUUUCAACUUCUGUCACAAAAUACUAACUGGGUUUCGAGUUUUCUAAGAUUUUUUUGUUCUAUGCAGGUGCUAGUUGUGAAUGCACAAUGCUCUUGCGGUUAAACGUGCAGGGACAGUUGUGAAAACUUUUCUGUUUAAUGGUUUUUUGACGGUUUGGCUUUAGUUUAUGCUUUGAUUUCCCUUCUCAAUUGUGGGUUAAAUGAUUUUUGCUUGAUGAAUGUAUAGAGGUGUUUGAAGGAAGGUAAGAACUAAGGGAAAAAAUUAUAUGUACAUAUAUAUAUAUAUAUACACACACACACACACUCAUCAGGGUAUUCAUAAAUCAAAUUUUAAGAAAG
Molecule: long non-coding RNA, 1150 nt
Filed under: Carica papaya (papaya)
Lineage: Eukaryota; Viridiplantae; Streptophyta; Magnoliopsida; Brassicales; Caricaceae
Description: long non-coding RNA (CPAP_LNC000866)
Source: RNAcentral